RNAcentral lists this ribosomal RNA (247 nucleotides) under uncultured bacterium. RNAcentral describes it as "partial 16S ribosomal RNA". It matches the Rfam family "Bacterial small subunit ribosomal RNA", at positions 523 to 769 of the family's 1533-position model. The record is from RNAcentral.
AUACGUAGGGGGCAAGCGUUAUCCGGAUUUACUGGGUGUAAAGGGAGCGUAGACGGUGUGGCAAGUCUGAAGUGAAAGCCCGGGGCUCAACCCCGGGACUGCUUUGGAAACUGUCAGACUAGAGUGCAGGAGAGGUAAGUGGAAUUCCUAGUGUAGCGGUGAAAUGCGUAGAUAUUAGGAGGAACACCAGUGGCGAAGGCGGCUUACUGGACUGUAACUGACGUUGAGGCUCGAAAGCGUGGGGAGC